GUCGAAAAAGCCAAAGAGCGGCAUUGAUCUUGUAAAUCAAAUACUGAAAUUAUCUUCUUUCGACU
This 65-nucleotide transfer RNA is filed under the name Terebellides stroemii. Its description in RNAcentral is "tRNA-Thr". The record is from RNAcentral. Lineage: Eukaryota; Metazoa; Annelida; Polychaeta; Terebellida; Trichobranchidae.